RNAcentral lists this ribosomal RNA (253 nucleotides) under uncultured bacterium. RNAcentral's name for it is "partial 16S ribosomal RNA". It matches the Rfam family "Bacterial small subunit ribosomal RNA", at positions 524 to 776 of the family's 1533-position model. The record is from RNAcentral.
UACGUAGGGUCCGAGCGUUGUCCGGAAUUACUGGGCGUAAAGAGCUCGUAGGUGGUUUGUCGCGUUGUUCGUGAAAACUCACAGCUCAACUGUGGGCGUGCGGGCGAUACGGGCAGACUGGAGUACUGCAGGGGAGACUGGAAUUCCUGGUGUAGCGGUGGAAUGCGCAGAUAUCAGGAGGAACACCGGUGGCGAAGGCGGUUCUCUGGGCAUGAUCUGACGCUGAGGAGCGAAAGUGUGGGGAGCGAACAGG